RNAcentral lists this transfer RNA (87 nucleotides) under Gammaproteobacteria bacterium. Its description in RNAcentral is "tRNA-Leu". It matches the Rfam family "tRNA". From Rfam's summary of the family: Transfer RNA (tRNA) molecules are approximately 80 nucleotides in length. Their secondary structure includes four short double-helical elements and three loops (D, anti-codon, and T loops). The record is from RNAcentral. Lineage: Bacteria; Pseudomonadati; Pseudomonadota; Gammaproteobacteria.
GCCCAGGUGGCGGAAUUGGUAGACGCGCAGCGUUCAGGUCGCUGUGUCCGUAAGGAUGUGCGAGUUCGAGUCUCGCUCUGGGCACCA